Molecule: RNA transcript, 1739 nt
Organism: Fundulus heteroclitus (mummichog)
Lineage: Eukaryota; Metazoa; Chordata; Actinopteri; Cyprinodontiformes; Fundulidae
Gene name: OX-2 membrane glycoprotein-like
Exons: 6
Source: RefSeq, a predicted model, not a curated record
UAAUGAGAGAAAUUGAAGGGAAGAAAUAACAAUCAGAUUAAGAGUAGAUCAUACCCAUUUAAAUGACAAAUUAUAUUUAAUAGAGAGGAAAAAUAAAGAUAAAUGUGAAGGAUGUGGAGAGAAAGAAAAUGUAGAACACGUAUUGAUGAACUGUAAAACAUAUGAACCUGAAAGGGAGAAAUUGAGAAGAAUAGUUGGAAGGACAGGCCAAGAAUGGAGUCUUAAAGGAAUUUUGGGAAAUGAAGGAAAUAUAAAGGACAUUUACAUAUUAGGAAAGCAUCGCUUAUUUAUCUUCAGAAUACAAAAUAAAAAAAUACAAAUUGACAGACGUGAAGUAAUGUUACUACACACUCAUGUACAGUAGAUGGCGUUAUGCACCACAAAAUUGUUUGCGAUUCCACAUAACAGAAAAGAGGAGGAGGAAGAAGAAGCAAGCUACAUUCAGGAGCCAGGCAACCACGCGAUCUUUUCAGCCAUGACUCCGGCAGCACGGUACAAUGCCGGAUGGAGGGAAGUUAAUUUUGUUUCUUUUAAUCUUUGGAUCAUCCUUUCAGAAAGGUCUAGCAGCGUUGAUUCAAACCCAGCAGACUGUAUUAGCAGCAGUGGGAGGAGAUGCUCCUCUCAGCUGUCUCCUCCUGGAAACUAAAGAUGUCCAGCAGGUCACCUGGCAGAAGGACUUGGGGAACAAAGAGAGUAACAUCGGCUCCUACAGCGAGUAUUUUGGUCAAACAGUGAAUCCUGACUUUAAAGAUAAAGUUCAGUUCACAGAAGCUGGACUGCAGAAUACCUCCAUAGUCAUCAGGAGUGUUACAGAGCAGGAUGAAGGAUGUUAUCUGUGUUUGUUCAACACCUUCCCUGAUGGAGCACUGACAGCUGGAACCUGUCUGAAGGUUUAUGAGCUGCAUGGACCCGUCCUUGAUGUCAGCACAUCAAGCUCUCCUGCAGGGUCAAAUGUGUCCUGUUCAGCCACAGGUCGACCUGCUCCCACUGUAACACUGACUGCUCCACAGCAGAACCUCAGCUUGUCCCUCUACAACACCACCAGGGUGAGCAACAGCAACGGUACCGUCACCGUCACCACCACAGCUCUGCUGUCAGCUUCCAGCAGCACACAGGUUGGAUGUUCAGUGUCAGUUCUCUCUGCUGCUCCCAGAGAGCUGCUGCUCACCGUUCCUGGACCCUCAGAGACAUCUGAUCAUGGUUUGGAUGAACGAUCUGGAUCUUCUGGCAGAGGCAGUGCGUUUAUGUUGAGAUUCUCACAUGUUGAUUUCUCACUUUCUGUUGCUGAGACACAGUUUCUCUUCUUCCUGAAGGACGGGCUCUGAUUAUUUCAGUCAUGGUAUUUUUCAUCGGAAUUGGUAUUUUCAUACUCAAAAAGACUUCACAAAAGGAAAAAUAAACCGUCACAGGAGGCCACAUACCAAAGCUGGACAAAUCAUCAGUGUCGGAUAACAAAGGGCUCAGACUACAAACAUCUGAAAAACAGAACCAACACAGCGAGUCCCAGCCAUCACUGUGACAGCAGGAACACUUCACUUCAUUCGAUUUUUAAUAGUCAACAAAUAAGGCAGCUAAACCUGAACAAAGGUGGAUCAAACCUGGAGAUGCAACAGUUUUAUUACUAUUAAACACUCCUAAGAUCACCUCCUGGUUGUUUACAACUACUUACCUGAGAGGUUUCUACUUUUUUUAAACAUGUUGAGCUUCAUUUGGUGCUAACACUUUUAUACUUUUUCAUA